This 440-nucleotide ribosomal RNA is filed under the name uncultured bacterium. Its description in RNAcentral is "partial 16S ribosomal RNA". It matches the Rfam family "Bacterial small subunit ribosomal RNA", at positions 339 to 795 of the family's 1533-position model. The record is from RNAcentral.
CUACGGGUUGCACCAGUUAGGAAUCUUGCGCAAUGGGCGAAAGCCUGACGCAGCGACACCGCGUGGGGGAACGAAGGCCUUCGGGUUGUAAACUCCUUUUGCACGGGACGAUGAUGACGGUACCGUGCGAAUAAGCACCGGCUAACUACGUGCCAGCAGCCGCGGUAAUACGUAGGGUGCAAGCGUUAUCCGGAAUAACUGGGCGUAAAGGGCGUGUAGGCGGUUGAAGUAGUCUCGCGUUAAAUCUCUCGGCUCACCCGAGAGGCUGCGCGGGAAACCAUUCGACCCGGGUGUGGCAGGGGUGAGCGGAAUUCCCGGUGUAGCAGUGAAAUGCGUAGAUAUCGGGAAGAACACCAAUGGCGAAGGCAGCUCACUAGGCAACUACUGACGCUGAGGCGCGAAAGCGUGGGGAGCGAACAGGAUUAGAUACCCCCGUAGUC